UACGGAGGAUGCGAGCGUUAUCCGGAUUUAUUGGGUUUAAAGGGUGCGCAGGCGGCAUGUCAAGUCAGCGGUAAAAUGUCGGGGCUCAACCCCGGCCGGCCGUUGAAACUGGUUUUCUUGAGUGAAGUAGAGGUUGGCGGAAUUCCGAGUGUAGCGGUGAAAUGCUUAGAUAUCACGAAGAACUCCGAUUGCGAAGGCAGCGUACCGGCUCCAUACUGACGCUGAGGCACGAAAGCGUGGGGAUCGAA
This 248-nucleotide ribosomal RNA is filed under the name uncultured Muribaculaceae bacterium. RNAcentral's name for it is "partial 16S ribosomal RNA". It matches the Rfam family "Bacterial small subunit ribosomal RNA", at positions 524 to 772 of the family's 1533-position model. Lineage: Bacteria; Pseudomonadati; Bacteroidota; Bacteroidia; Bacteroidales; Muribaculaceae. The record is from RNAcentral.